GAGAUGUCCGACGUGACGUUCCUCGUGGAAGGGAGGCUCUUUUACGCACACAAGGUCCUCCUGGUGACGGCGUCCAACAGGUUCAAGACGUUGAUGACCAACAAGUCAGAGCAAGAUGGCGACGGUGGCAAGACCAUCGAAAUCAGCGACAUGAAGUACGCCAUCUUCCAGCUGAUGAUGCAAUAUCUCUACUAUGGAGGGACAGAAUCCAUGGAAAUCCC
Long non-coding RNA from Gracilinanus agilis (Agile Gracile Mouse Opossum), 221 nucleotides. RefSeq lists it as uncharacterized. The record is from RefSeq and is a predicted model, not a curated record. Lineage: Eukaryota; Metazoa; Chordata; Mammalia; Didelphimorphia; Didelphidae. The transcript has 3 exons.